AGAGUUUGAUCAUGGCUCAGGAUGAACGCUGGCGGCACGCCUAACACAUGCAAGUCGAACGCACUUUUUUGAACUCUAAUCUCGAUACUCUAAAAAAGUUUCAAGAUACGGAGUCCGAAAUUGUGAGUGGCGGACGGGUGAGUAACACGUUGGAACCUGCCCCGAAGAGGGGGAUAACUACCCGAAAGGGUGGCUAAUACCCCAUAUACUCCGAUUUAUUCGGAGGAAAGCUUUUGCGCUUCGGGAGGGGCCUGCGUAACAUUAGCUAGUUGGUGAGGUAAAAGCUCACCAAGGCGACGAUGUUUAGCUGGUUUGAGAGGAUGAUCAGCCACACUGGGACUGAGAUACGGCCCAGACUCCUACGGGAGGCAGCAGUGAGGAAUAUUCCACAAUGGGGGAAACCCUGAUGGAGCGAUGCCGCGUGCAGGAAGACGCUUUUCGGAGUGUAAACUGCUUUUAAUAGGGAAGAUUAUGACGGUACCUAUAGAAAAAGGACCGGCUAACUACGUGCCAGCAGCCGCGGUAAUACGUAGGGUCCAAGCGUUAUUCGGAAUUACUGGGCGUAAAGCGUACGUAGGCGGUUUGGUAAGUUGGAUGUGAAAAUCCCCCUGCUCAACGGGGUGGGACUG
Molecule: ribosomal RNA, 629 nt
Filed under: uncultured bacterium
Lineage: Bacteria
Description: bacterial SSU rRNA
Rfam family: Bacterial small subunit ribosomal RNA
Source: RNAcentral